This 1431-nucleotide unclassified non-coding RNA is filed under the name Hevea brasiliensis (rubber tree). Lineage: Eukaryota; Viridiplantae; Streptophyta; Magnoliopsida; Malpighiales; Euphorbiaceae. The record is from RNAcentral.
GGAACUCGCUGUGCUGAUCCUGCAUUGCCUUUUAUAAGGUUGCAUUCUUUUCCACUUCAUUCCUCCCAACAGGAUAUAGUAAAACGUAAUCAUGGGAGAGAUGAUUGGUGGGCAGGGUCUGCUCCUUCAGGACCUUUUAUUUACACACCUUUCAGCAAAGGGGAGCCAAGUCAAAGCAGUAAGCAGGAGCUGAUUUGGGUUGUGGGUGAAGCAGUACAAGUGUUUGUUGAGUUGGCAAAUCCUUGUGGUUUUGAUUUGAAGGUCGAUAGUAUAUAUCUAUCUGUAAAUUCUGGGAAUUUUGAUGCUUUUCCCAUCAGUGUUAGUCUGCCUCCUAAUUCCUCCAAAGUGAUUGCAUUAUCUGGAAUUCCUACUGAAGUAGGUUCAUUAAAAAUUCCAGGAUGCAUUGUUCAUUGUUUUGGUGUUAUCACUGAACAUUAUUUUAAGGAUGUGGAUAAUCUUCUAGUGGGAGCAGCUCAAGGACUUGUGCUGUCUGACCCUUUCCGCUGUUGUGGGUCACCAAAGUUGAAAAAUGUUACGAUUCCAAAUAUUUCGGUGGUCCCCCCGUUGCCAUUGCUUAUAUCACGUGUUGUGGGUAGUGAUGGUGCUAUAAUUUUAUAUGAAGGAGAGAUUCGUGAAGUACAGAUAAGUGUGGCCAAUGCAGGUACAGUUCCGAUAGAGCAAGCCCACAUCUCAUUAUCUGGGAAAAAUCAAGAUUCAAUCCAGUUAAUUGUUUAUGAAACCUUGAAGUCAUCCCUUCCUUUGAAGCCCGGUGCUGAAGUGAGAAUACCUGUCACUUUAAAGACUUGGCAGCUUGGACUUUUGGAUCCGGAUGCUGCUCCUAGUAAGAACAUAUCUGGAAGCACCGGGAGGCAAGUCAAGGAUGGAUGCAGUCCUGUGCUGCUGAUCCACUAUGCGGGUCCACUUACUUAUGCUGGAGAUGCAUCAAUAAAUGGAUCUAUUCCUCCCGGUAGGCGAUUGGUUGUUCCCCUUAAUAUAUGUGUUUCACAGGGGUUAUCUCUUAUGAAGGCUCGUUUGUUAUCAAUGGAGAUCCCUGCUCAUGUUGGUGAGGAUCAUUCAAAUGUUCAAGUGGAAACCAGUUCUGCUGAAGAAUCCCCUCGUACUGAUAGGUUCAUGAAAAUUGAUCCUUACAGAGGAAGUUGGGGCCUGCGUUUCCUCGAGCUUGAGUUAUCCAAUCCGACUGAUGUUGUCUUCGAGAUUGGCGUGUCUGUCAAUAUGGAGGAUUCUAACAAUGAGGAGAAUCCUGAGUAUGACUAUCCUAAAACAAGGAUUGACAGAGAUUACACUGCCAGGGUGCUAAUACCAUUAGAACAUUUUAAGUUACCUGUUCUUGAUGGUACUUACCUGGUUAAGGAGUCUCAAAUGGAUAGGACCAGUACUAGAAAAUCAAGCUUCUCUGAGAAAAGUAGCAAA